GUAAAUCACUAGAAGCUCUUAAAAACCAAAGGCAGGUUCCUUCUCAAGGUGACUUUGUUAAUGAUUAACAAAGUCACCUUGAGAAGGAACCUGCCUUUGGUUUUUAAGAGCUUCUAGUGAUUUAC
Non-coding RNA from Podarcis lilfordi (Lilford's wall lizard), 125 nucleotides. Lineage: Eukaryota; Metazoa; Chordata; Lepidosauria; Squamata; Lacertidae. The record is from the annotation of a GenBank genome assembly.